AAUUUGGGGAACAAACGACAUCGUUUUGAUCUGAACAGACUACAGAGCGUCCAGUAGACUGGUACCCGAUUAAGCUCAGCAACAGGGACACCUUACAGCGGGCUAAACGCAGCAGAAUGUUACUACGAGGUCGCUUAUUCACUCUCUUAUCGAUUCCAUCUCUACAUCUACCUUCACUAAAAUCUCUGCCAUAUAACCUUUCUUUCAAUUACUUUACCCAAAAAUCUCUGAACCCGAACCCUAAGUCGAACUUCCAUAUUUCUGCUUCUAAGAUCACGAAACCGUCUAUCUCCGACUCCGCCCGCUUCGCUCGGACAGUUCUCUUCGUUCCACCAGGGGUCGACCUGGAUGAGGUGACAGAGGAGAUGGUUUUGCCUGGGUCGAACAUCGUUGUCGGACCCUACGCGGGUCAUUCACAGAUUAAGGAAGUGGAGUUCGUUAAGAGUAGUAGUAGGGCUAGAGAUUGCCCGAGAGAUGACCGACCCGAGUUUGCCAUUCUGGGUCGGUCCAAUGUGGGCAAGUCUUCUCUUAUUAAUGCUUUGGUUAGAAAAAAGGAAGUUGCUCUCACAUCUAAGAAACCAGGAAAGACUCAGUUGAUAAAUCAUUUCUUGGUGAAUAAAAGCUGGUACAUUGUUGAUUUGCCUGGUUAUGGGUUUGCUAAGGCCCCAGAUUCUGCACGAACAGAUUGGUCCUCAUUCACCAAAGGCUAUUUUUUGAACAGAGAAACUCUAGUUGCUGUCCUACUUCUUAUCGAUGCAAGUGUCCCUCCUCAAAAGAUUGACCUAGAUUGUGCUAGUUGGCUUGGACGCAAUAAUAUACCGUUAACUUUUGUUUUCACCAAGUGUGACAAAAUGAAAGGGGGGAAGGGAACAAGACCUGAUGAGAACAUUAGGAAUUUCCAGGAAUUGAUCAGACAAAACUACCGAGAACAUCCUCCAUGGAUCAUGACUAGUAGCGUCACUGGCUUGGGCAGGGAUGAACUUCUUCUACAUAUGUCACAGCUAAGGAACUACUGGGAUCAAUAAAAUGUGUCAAGUCAAAACUACUUAUUUAACUAUAAGGAUGAUAUAUGAGAAUCCAGGCUCAAUAAUUUCCCACAUCUAGAGGAGUAGAUGUUACUUGUAUUGUACCACUUGCUGUUCCAUCAUCAAUACUCUUGAAGUUUGACCAAGAACAUUUUCUGAAGAGUUGCUUCUUAAUGAAUUGAACUUCAUUUUAGUCUUUCUUCUUUGUCAAACUACUGUUGGUUUGAGUAUGAAUUUCUAUUUUAUGUCAGUUCUAGGGUCAAAUAUUGUGGAGUAUUUGGUGAGUAUAUAUCAGAGAAAUAGGACUUUCAUGUAGGAAUAUACUUUUAUACCAUUAAUGUGUGCACGGUAUAAUAGAGCCUUGCUAAUUUUCACCUUCA
Jatropha curcas is the source of this 1405-nucleotide RNA transcript. It is a transcript of the gene named P-loop containing nucleoside triphosphate hydrolases superfamily protein, with no coding region annotated. NCBI's taxonomy places the organism in Eukaryota, Viridiplantae, Streptophyta, Magnoliopsida, Malpighiales, Euphorbiaceae. The record is from RefSeq and is a predicted model, not a curated record.